This 1758-nucleotide long non-coding RNA is filed under the name Homo sapiens (human). RNAcentral's name for it is "HSALNT0382642". Lineage: Eukaryota; Metazoa; Chordata; Mammalia; Primates; Hominidae. The record is from RNAcentral.
ACUGCGGCCGGGACGCGGCCCCGCCCAGGCGAGCGGCGGGUGGCUCUUACCAGCGGGAACGCCAUGGGGCCGGUGUGGCCCUGCGGGGCUGACGGGCUGACCGGCCAGCCGGCGGGCGAGAGACGCGCACGCACGUGGGCACUAUUUUUGCAGCGGGCCGCGCGCAGCCCCGCACCCCGGCAGCUUAUGAAGCUCCUACGAGCCGCUCCUCGGAGCCGCCCCCCGGCCGGAUGCGGAGCACCUGUGUCGGCCCCGCCCGGGCCCUCGCCUCCGCCCCCUCGCGCCCCGCCCCUCCUAGCAGGCCGAGCCGAGGAGGGCUCCGCCGCCCACCCGGAACCCGGCGGGGACUGCCGCCGCUGCUAGCCACAGCUGCCCCCUGGGGGGCCAGAGACCUAAGCCUGAGCGCGCCAUCACCUAAGUGACCCUUGCCGAGUCACUGUCUGCCCUGGGCCUCAGUUUCCCUCUUAACGAAAGAGGGCACGAUUUACAAGCCCCUGCGAGCGGCGGCGAUCGCUUCGUCAGUAGAGCCUCGUGUCCGCGCUCCUUCUCUUCCAGUGAUCUCUCCAGGGCGAGAGCCUGCCCUGGCAUCCUUGGUCGGAACUGUAGCCCCUGGGCUCCAGGAGGCGCACUCACUUUAGACCCUCUGCUCCGUGCGCUGCAGAGGGGGCCGCGAGAGUCAGGAAGUUCCAGAAAGUUCCAAAGACAUCACUGGUCCUCUUUGGACCGGAGUUCUCCGGAGAAACCGCUUCCGGCGCUCCUGACACACUGAGAUAGAAAGUUUCACAGAAAUAGGGCAAGGGAUAGGGCGAGGGCUCCAGGGCAGGCGUCCUAGGGCACCUGGCGCAGGGGCGGACCGGAAACCCCAGGCAAACGCAGAGUCGGAGAUGGCAUUCCAGGCGGAAGAUCAAGCAAAGGCAGAGAGGGAGGACGGCACCGAGCGGCUCCCUCUGACCAGGACUGAGGAUGAUGCGACCUGAUACCGCCGGAGGGAAGCCUGGGCCCGCUGAGCAAGAUAAGAACCUGAAACCCAGAAUAGUGCCCAAGGGAGCGGGUGUCUGGAGGCCCUGUCAUAUUUCAAAACUGUCAACCAUAAGAAAAUGAAGGCAUCUUUCAAGAGACUUGGAACAGAAACUUCUGCUGCCUAAAAUCUCUCUCCCUAAACUUUCUGUUGCAGAUGAGACUGAAGCUCAAAGAAGUUAAGUAACUUGCCAAAAGACUCCCAGCUAAAAGUGUGAGAGCAAAGACUCAAACCAAGGCAGUCUUCUGGUUUCAGAGCCUGAAGUCUUAACCAGGUGAGAAUAAAACUUCCAGCAUGCUUAUGUGUGUGCUUAUCUGUGAAUGACCCCAGAGCUGACUGCAGAUGUUGAGAGAAGAGGUAACUUUGACCAAAUGCAGUCAUGACCUCAGGUGUGGGCAAGUCCUUGUUCCCUACCUGGACUUGGCUAGGCCUGCAGGUCAUACAGGAAGAACAGUCCCUCUGAAGGUGACCAUAAUCCACAGGGCAGGGUGUGGAAAGUGACAGAGGUGAAUUUAUUAAAUGACUUGGUCAAGUCCCCACAGCUGGUCACUGGCAGAAGCAGCAGAAACAAAUAGGCAGCAUUAUCUAUUCUCCCAGUCAACAAACAGCCUUUGAGCCCAGCUAUGCCUGGCACUGUCUCUGCAGUCAAGCCCCAGACUUACAAUACUGAUUUUAAGUCCAACUAUAUAAUUAGCUGGACUACAUUUUAAAUAUGUGUACUAGGGAAACAGGAGGGACCC